RNAcentral lists this long non-coding RNA (587 nucleotides) under Monodelphis domestica (gray short-tailed opossum). RNAcentral describes it as "lncRNA (ENSMODG00000032603.2)". The record is from RNAcentral. Lineage: Eukaryota; Metazoa; Chordata; Mammalia; Didelphimorphia; Didelphidae.
AUGGCCAGAUUAAGAAAGCUCCAAAAUAUCGGAAAGAAUCCUUUAAAAAAAAAAAUAGCCAUCAUUUCAAUGAUGGAAGGACAAUCUUUUUCUCCAUUUACAUACCACUCUUCCGUGACCCUUCCCCCUCCCUCUACUAUCUCUUCCCCACCCCCACUCCCCCUAAAAAAAAAUGAGGCCCUCAACAUAAACAAGAACCUGGAUGUUUACCGUGCUUUGUGCACACCCUCCAGCAGGCCAUGGAUUCGGACACCCCCUCCCCCGUGGUUCCACAGUUCAGUGGCUUGGCUUAGUGAGCAUCAUGCAACUCUGGGACUACCACCAAGGUAUUGUCAAGUCUUUUAUCACCCUGGCAACACAGCAGCUACUCUCAUAUGGUCACUAAGUAGGAAGACAAGAGAUGAUAAUGGCCUGAACUAUGGUGGUGACCAUGUAAAUGGCGAGAGUUGGAUGCAAGAUAUGUUUGAAGCAUCAUGAAUGAGGUCAGAAAACAAAUCAGUUUCUGACUUUCAAUCUCUUGUCUUUACACUUUAUCCCCCACAAAGUUGCCAAAAAUAAUACUCCUAAAACAUUUUUGCUCAUUUUCA